Molecule: ribosomal RNA, 342 nt
Filed under: uncultured Leptolinea sp.
Lineage: Bacteria; Bacillati; Chloroflexota; Anaerolineae; Anaerolineales; Anaerolineaceae
Description: bacterial SSU rRNA
Rfam family: Bacterial small subunit ribosomal RNA
Source: RNAcentral
CUUGCACAGGUGCUGCAUGGCUGUCGUCAGCUCGUGUCGUGAGAUGUUCGGUUAAGUCCGCUAACGAGCGCAACCCUCACUGUGUGUUAUAUGUGUCACACGGGACUGCCGGUCUUAAGCCGGAGGAAGGUGGGGAUGAUGUCAAGUCAGCAUGGCCUUUAUAUCCUGGGCUACACACACGCUACAAUGGCCAACAACAAUAGGUUGCUAAGCCGCGAGGUGGCGCCAAUCCAUAAAAGUUGGUCUCAGUUCAGAUUGUAGGCUGCAACCCGCCUGCCAUGAAGAUGGAGUUGCUAGUAACCGCAGGUCAGCUAUACUGCGGUGAAUACGUUCCCGGGGCUU